Molecule: ribosomal RNA, 1395 nt
Filed under: Campylobacter jejuni
Lineage: Bacteria; Pseudomonadati; Campylobacterota; Epsilonproteobacteria; Campylobacterales; Campylobacteraceae
Description: partial 23S ribosomal RNA
Rfam family: Bacterial large subunit ribosomal RNA
Source: RNAcentral
AUACUCCGAGAACUGAAAGGCUUUUUGAAGUCUUCGGAUGGAUAGAAGAACCCCUGAUGCCGUCGAGCCAAGAAAAGUUUCUAAGUUUAGCUAAUGUUGCCCGUACCGUAAACCGACACAGGUGGGUGGGAUGAGUAUUCUAAGGCGCGUGGAAGAACUCUCUUUAAGGAACUCUGCAAAAUAGCACCGUAUCUUCGGUAUAAGGUGUGGUUAGCCUUGUAUUAGGAUUUACUCCGAAAGCAAGGAAACUUACAACAAAGAGUCCCUCCCGACUGUUUACCAAAAACACAGCACUCUGCUAACUCGUAAGAGGAUGUAUAGGGUGUGACGCCUGCCCGGUGCUCGAAGGUUAAUUGAUGGGGUUAGCAUUAGCGAAGCUCUUGAUCGAAGCCCGAGUAAACGGCGGCCGUAACUAUAACGGUCCUAAGGUAGCGAAAUUCCUUGUCGGUUAAAUACCGACCUGCAUGAAUGGCGUAACGAGAUGGGAGCUGUCUCAAAGAGGGAUCCAGUGAAAUUGUAGUGGAGGUGAAAAUUCCUCCUACCCGCGGCAAGACGGAAAGACCCCGUGGACCUUUACUACAGCUUGACACUGCUACUUGGAUAAGAAUGUGCAGGAUAGGUGGGAGGCUUUGAGUAUAUGACGCCAGUUGUAUAUGAGCCAUUGUUGAGAUACCACUCUUUCUUAUUUGGGUAGCUAACCAGCUUGAGUUAUCCUCAAGUGGGACAAUGUCUGGUGGGUAGUUUGACUGGGGCGGUCGCCUCCCAAAUAAUAACGGAGGCUUACAAAGGUUGGCUCAGAACGGUUGGAAAUCGUUCGUAGAGUAUAAAGGUAUAAGCCAGCUUAACUGCAAGACAUACAAGUCAAGCAGAGACGAAAGUCGGUCUUAGUGAUCCGGUGGUUCUGUGUGGAAGGGCCAUCGCUCAAAGGAUAAAAGGUACCCCGGGGAUAACAGGCUGAUCUCCCCCAAGAGCUCACAUCGACGGGGAGGUUUGGCACCUCGAUGUCGGCUCAUCGCAUCCUGGGGCUGGAGCAGGUCCCAAGGGUAUGGCUGUUCGCCAUUUAAAGCGGUACGCGAGCUGGGUUCAGAACGUCGUGAGACAGUUCGGUCCCUAUCUGCCGUGGGCGUAAGAAGAUUGAAGAGAUUUGACCCUAGUACGAGAGGACCGGGUUGAACAAACCACUGGUGUAGCUGUUGUUCUGCCAAGAGCAUCGCAGCGUAGCUAAGUUUGGAAAGGAUAAACGCUGAAAGCAUCUAAGCGUGAAGCCAACUCUAAGAUGAAUCUUCUCUAAGCUCUCUAGAAGACUACUAGUUUGAUAGGCUGGGUGUGUAAUGGAUGAAAGUCCUUUAGCUGACCAGUACUAAUAGAGCGUUUGGCUUAUCUUUAAUAAAGCAU